RNAcentral lists this non-coding RNA (120 nucleotides) under Candidatus Brocadia. Its description in RNAcentral is "c-di-GMP sequence". It matches the Rfam family "c-di-GMP-I riboswitch aptamer". From Rfam's summary of the family: GEMM was predicted in a large-scale screen for bacterial structured RNA regulatory elements. Genes associated with GEMM are involved in a diverse array of functions, including chemotaxis regulation, signal transduction, secretion and chitin. The record is from RNAcentral. Lineage: Bacteria; Pseudomonadati; Planctomycetota; Candidatus Brocadiia; Candidatus Brocadiales; Candidatus Brocadiaceae. RNAcentral also lists the same sequence under 1 other name.
UAACGAAAAGGGCAAAUCCUGAGUGAUCAGGGGACGCAAAGUAACAGGGUCUUCAACAAAGUUGAGAGUAGAGAGUUAAGGGUUUAGUGUUAUAUUUUGGAAGACAGCCUUACUGCCGAA